Molecule: ribosomal RNA, 465 nt
Filed under: uncultured bacterium
Lineage: Bacteria
Description: partial 16S ribosomal RNA
Rfam family: Bacterial small subunit ribosomal RNA
Source: RNAcentral
CCUACGGGAGGCAGCAGUGGGGAAUAUUGCGCAAUGGGCGAAAGCCUGACGCAGCGACGCCGCGUGAGGGAUGAAGGUCUUCGGAUCGUAAACCUCCGUCAGCAGGGAAGAACGGUCACUGUGCUAGUCAGCAGUGAAUUGACGGUACCUGAAAAGGAAGCACCGGCUAACUCCGUGCCAGCAGCCGAGGUAAUACGGAGGGUGCGAGAGUGAAUCGGAAUUAGUGGGAGUAAAGCGCUCGUAGGUGGGAUGGCAAGGCAAGGGGGAAAUCCCCGCGCUCAACGUGGGAACCUCCUUUGAAACUGGCAACCUGGAGUGUGUGAGAGGAUAGUGUAAUUCCAGGUGUAGGAGUGAAAUCCGUAGAUAUCUGGAAGAACCUCAGUGGCGAAGGCGACUAUCUGGCACAUAACUGACGCUGAGGAGCGAAAGCGUGGGUAGCAAACAGGAUUAGAUACCCUGGUAGUC